AGGCAGUAGUCCUCGGAGGCCCGGCAGUAGAUCUUGAAGAUCUGGUUGGGGCCGGACGCCGCCGGCGCCUGGUCCUUGUGGUGGUGCCCGAACCCGAACAUCUUGGCGGCGAGGAGAGCGUGUCUGAUCGGCUAGACUGGUUGGAGCUGUGCGAGUGAGGAGAGAGCGCUGCCCGAUGGCGCCAUUAUAUAGAGCCGAGAGCAGAGCAGAGCAGACCAGAGUCACCACUCACGCGCUGUAGAUAGUAAAAUCUUGAAAAUCUUUGGACCAUAUCUCCAGCGGCCUGGAAUAAAUGGCGGAAAGUAAUUGUAGGAUACGCUCGCUCGAUCGCUGCCAGUACAGUACAGUACAUCACAGCACUAGCCGUUUGGCCAAGAUUUUGGUUGCAUUAGCAAGAUUUUGGUCCGAUUAACAGCAGUGGCCGGUUGAUGCCAGUACCAAGUUUUGGUUCGAUUCAGCACUCAACAUUAGCUGUAUCCAUGCAAAUAUGCAAUGGCCAAAAAUGCCAGCAGCAUACCAUAUAAUUUUUUCUGUGUAUUACUAGUAGUUGAUCAUCCUUAGAGGCUAAGUAUCCUACUGUACUAAUUAAAGACUACAUAUUUGACUCUGCUCUUGGAUUUAUCUUGGUCCUGCAGCAGUAGCACUCCAGCAUCAGGCUUCGGCUCACACUUGGCAUUGCCUUGCAACAUACUAGCCGUUUGGUGUGAAUGUACUGGAAGGUUCUGGUUCGAUUCACCUACCCCCAGUGUUUUCCUCGGCAUUAACUUUGCAUUAGCUGUAUGCAUGCAAAUACGCAAUGCCAGCACGCCGGCGGUGUGAAUUGGAUUAUGGAGUACGGUUAGUGUUCUUGUAUUUUGUAGUCCAUCCAUUGACUCAUCCUAGCAGUGUUCUCUUCUAGCAAACUCAUCCUUAGAGGUUAAGCAUCUCUAUAAGUAAAGACUAGAUAUUUUACAGUUUUUUGAAUUAUUUUGUCCAUUUAUUUACUAACUAUUUGUAGUGUUUAAGGUGCUACCGUCUAAGGCUGCCUUGCCUUCUCGGUUGUCGUCGGCCCAAGUAGGCCGCCCUGAGGCCCUUUGGAUCGGUUCCGCAAUGGGCCAUCGGUUCGGUCCAUGGGCCUUUCCUCCACCGAUGUAGCCGACUAGGUUGUGUAACUCGUGGGGUCCGGAUGUUAUAUAAGUCGGGGUUGAGCUAGUCGAUAGGUCAUUAUAUAAUCAUGCCGUUUAUACCUUUAUACAUGCAAUCAUAGUAUGCACAUAGUAGGAAUAGAGUUCUACCUCUUUCAGAGGGGCCGAACCUAAGUAAAUCGCCUCAUGUUUUCCCUCUGCCCCAAUCGUCAUGUCCGGAUACCCUAUUGAGGGAUCUGUCGGAUUUAGCUCUCACAGUCUUUGUUCUUGAAAGAACAAAUGCCAUAUAUAAUAAGUUUUACAGAUGCUUACAAGAUUACCAUUACAAAAACCGGAAGAUACAUCAAAAUUCCUGGGGUGCCAAAAUACUACUUCUCCUGCAUCGACACACGUCGUGCUGUGAGGAAAACCCGUUAUCGUGUAUGCUACCAUUCCUUAAAACUCGGGAGUUUGUAGAAGCGAUGAUUUGGAAGCCGUUGAUGUAGACUAGUAGAUGACGAUGACCGCAAUGUAUGUAGCAGAUCACUUCUCCCUAGAAGAAAACACCGGAGAGGGCAUGUAUAUCACCCUAGGUCCGGCGAGAUGGAUUCUAGAAACACAAAACUCUUACACGCUCCACCACAAGAGUGAAGUUUGUGAAUCUUUCUCUGUGAGAACUAGAGCGAGAGAAUCAAGACACAGUCCUGCCAUCUAAGACAAACAUGCAGAAGAAAAGCCCCAACCUCCCUCCGAUAACAUCUCCACUUUCUUGGCUUGCUACAACACGUCACCAUCACUAUUGGCCCGGUUCCAUCACCGUCAACAUCGUGGACCUUCGCCAAGAUGAUGCCCCCUUCUUCACCUCCUUCCUUUACCGUCGUCGGCACUCCUUCUUCGAUUUUUGUCCAUCUAUGCUCACCCCUCGACAUUUCGAGCACACCUACGUGUUCUUGGUGAGAAACUAGACCCCUGCACCCCUCGAUAGGCUCCUGCAUCAUUUGAUUUGGCAUGGGCCCAAGGCACCUCCGCCACGGCAUGGUCGUCGGCUGGUCUCUAGUGACCCUUUGCUCCCGCCCGUUGUGUCGCUGCACACGCACCGUCGCGUGGGUCGUUUUUGCCGAACUUGUUGAUUCGCCCUUCCCUCUGAUACAACCCCAAAAUCUGGUUUCUAAUCCCUACAAGACAUUGCAAUCUUGCGUCGUCUAGAAGCACAUUUCCAGCAUAUGAUUGUGACACCACGAGAGGGUUAUAUACCAGUAACAAGGUGAAAAUCACGACAAAUACAACUACGAACAUAAGAGUAAUACGAUAUAUGUUAGGCAUACAUAUGUCGAUAGAUAAAUAUUCCACCAAACAUAGGCAACAUGACCCAACAUUGCAUGAAUCAUACAAGCAAGAAGGCACGAGUCCGAGUACAUACAAGAAGGAAAUAUGCCUAAGGGGCCAAAGAAAUAAGCAACAUCCACCUUGCUAAUCCGAGGCUAGUGAUGUCUACUACGCAACAUUCUCCUUGUAGACGUUGUUGGGCCUCCAAGUGCAGAGGUUUGUAGGACAGUAGCAAUUUUCUCUCAAGUGGGUGACCUAAGGUUUAUCAAUCCGCGGGAGGCGUAGGAUGAAGAUGAUCUCUCUCAAGCACCCUGCAACCAAAUAACAAAGAGUCUCUUGUGUCCCAAACACACCCAAUACAAUGGUCAGUUGUAUAGGUGCACUAGUUCGGCGAAGAGAUGGUGAAAUAAGUGCAAUAUGGAUGGUAGAUAUAGGUUUUUGUAAUCUGAAAUUACAAAAACAACAAGGAAACAAAUGGUAAAAGUGAGCACGAACGGUAUUGCAAUGCGUGGAAACAAGGCCUAGGGUUCAUACUUUCACUAGUGAAGUUCUCUCAAAAAAGAUAACAUAAUUGGAUCAUAUAACUAGCCCUCAACAUGCAACAAAGAGUCACUCCAAAGUCACUAAUAGCGGAGAACAAACGAAGAAAUUAUUGUCGGAUACGAAACCACCAUAAAGUUAUUCUUUCUGAUCGAUCUAUUUAAGAGUUCGUACUAGAAUAACACCUUAAGAUACAUAUCAACCAAGACCCUAAUGUCACGUAGAUACUCCAUUGUCACCUCAAGUAUCCGUGGGCAUGAUUAUACGAUAUGCAUCACAGAAUCUCAGAAUCAUCUAUUCAACCAACACAUAGGACUUCAAAGAGUGCCCCGAAGUUUCUACCGGAGAGUCAAAACGUGUGCCAACCCCUAUGCAUAGGUUCUCAAUGUCACGAACCCGCAAGUUGAUCACCAAAACAUACAUCGAGUACUCACAUGAAUCCACGUGUGCCAACCCAUACAUAGGUUCCCAAUUGUCACAAACCCGCAAGUUGAUCACAGCAGAUAGACACGUGCAAGAUAUACAUCAAGUGUUCUCAAAGACUCAAUCCGAUAAGAUAACUUCAAAGGGGAAACUCAAUUCAUUACAAGAAGGGAGAGGGGGAAGAACAUCAUAAGAUCCAACUAUAGUAGCAAAGCCCACGGUACAUCGAGAUCAAGACAUCUCAAGAACACGAGAGAGAGAGAUCAAACACAUAGCUACUGGUACAUACCCUCAGCCCCGAGGGAGAACUACUCCCUCCUCGUCAUGGAGAUCGUCGGGAUGAUGAAGAUGGCCACCGGAGAUAGAUUCCCCCUCCGGCAGGGUGCCGGAACGGUCUCCAGAUUGGUUUUUGGUGGCUACACAGGCUUGCGGCGGCGGAACUUCCGAUCUAGGUUUCUUUCUGGAGGUUUCCGUAUUUAUAAGACUAGAUGGCGUCGAGAACAAGUCAGGGGGACCCACGAGGGAGUCACACGCCCUUGGGGCGCGGCCAGGGGGGUGGGGGCGCCCCCAGGCUUGUGGCUUCCUCGGGACUCUUCUCCGGUAUAUUUUUCUUCUGGUAUUUUUGAUAUUUUCCAGAAAAAAUCUUUUCGGGGAUUUUCUUCCUUUUGGACUCCGUUUCAAAAUCUCCUCUGAAAGGGGUCAAAAAUAUGGAAAAAGCAGGAACUGGCACUUGGCACUGAGUUAAUAAGUUAGUCCCUAAAAAUAUAUAAAAGGCAUGCAAAACAUCCAAAGUUUGACAAGAUAAUAGCAUGGAACCAUCAAAAAUUAUAGAUACGUUGAAGACGUAUCAACUAGCAAGUUGGAUGAUAUGCUAAUGAUCGUCAUCGAAGAGCAACGCCAAAUAUAGUGUAUCAUGCUCUCACCUUGGAGCAAUGCUUUACUUGUAAUUGCACUUGUGCGUGUUGUAGUAUCUGUGGGCCUUUAGGACUUCACAAGUCUCGUUACCAAGGGUAUCACACGAAAACUACUUAAUGGGUUGGGAUGGUUAAGUUGUGAUGUUGCAACAAGCACUAGUCCGAUGAGUACUAGAACAAGAUAAGAUAAGAUAAAUCCUACCCAUAAGGGGGUGGCAAUUAGAUAAUCAAUAAGUUACCCUAAACACUAUGUACAAAUUUUGCUUGCAUUCCCACAAGAAGUGAUUGUCGUGGUACACACACGGUUUGUAAGUUUUAGUUAUUAGUUGAAGUUCUCUACAACUGGAUAUUGUAAUUUUUGAAGUCAUGUGUAACCGUGGGCAUGGCUUUUCAAAAGAUUUAACCCUGUAUGGGUCCUACUAAUUCCUCCAUGGUAGAUUUCCGCGCGCAUACCCGUUCCUCCAAGUCCAUGGCCCAUGGGAACCCUCGUGCAAAGCAUGAUGUGUUUCAGGAAUUUUGGAGCAACAAAUCCUCGAUCUAAUGUAGAACUAGCAGCUAGAGAGGCCUCCCGAUGAGUCUUAUUGGGCUAUGAGCCGCACACACUGUAUCCUCAGACCCAUUCGUCUAUGCCAAGUGGAUAGUGAACCAAAACCUCGAGUUUUUCCAUGGUGGAACCUCACUUCUAGGUAGGGGCCAACGCUUUUUCGAGCACCCGCCUAAGUUAUUUCAAAAGUACCUUGAGGGGUGACCCUCUAUGCGACUUUUAUGUUGGAUAAUGUUAACAAAAAUGUUGCACCUCUCUGGAAAAGUUUAGUGCUAGAUAAAGAGGUCAAGGGGAGCCUCAUAAUCCCCACACAUAUUAUGAGCGCUCGUAGAAAACAUAAAACUAGGGUUACGAAACUAAGAGAACAACAGUGAAACAAAUCACCGGGGCAUAGGUAUGAGAUUUCCAUCCUUUACCAAGUGUAUAGUCAAGAUUAGUUAAAUAAGCAAGAUAUGAUAUCUCAGGAUGUCCAUAUCUCAACAUGGAACAACCUGCACCUACAAGUAGCAAAUCUAUAAAAGGAGCCGAGCAAGCGGUAGCAUGGCAAUCUAUGGUUUGCUAGGAUAGUGAAGGUUAUGGGCUAUAUCAUGGCAAAUGUUAGGCUUGCAAACAAGUGGUAGGUAGCGAGACCGGACAAUAGCAUCGUGACAUCUAGCAAGCAAAGUUAGUAAUCAUAUCCAAGAUAAUGAUCAUUCUUGUGUGAGAUUCCACUUUGAAGAUCGAAACCACAAAGUGUAGUCGAACAAAAUCCUUGUACUUCGUAUCGUUAUCGGGAGCUAACGAGAAGAAGAAGAACCGGAAAGAAGCAAACGGUAUGAUAAACAAACAUAUCAUGGCAUAAUGACAAUCAGCAUGAAUCAUGACAAGUUUAAUGAUUUUACAUGGCAACCUAUAACUAGAAAAGUUAAAGAAAGCCUUGAUCCAUGUGUGGUAUGAAUCAAAUGAAACUCCAUAUGCAUUUUCUUUUCUUUUUUGAGCAAGUUAAACUCCGAGAUCAUGUCCCUUUUGCAUUUUAGUCACUAUUAUUUGGUUAACUCGCAAGUUCUUGAUACUUGCGUAAAAUUUGACAAAUGAUAUAUAUAUGUUUUUCGACUAGAGUUUCGCAAGCUGGUCGUACCAUCAUUCACACGCCUCACAACGAUGUCAAGAAACACCAUUGCAACGUGGAGGGAGUGGGGAUGAUUUUAUGCCGACAGCGACACCAUCGCCUCACCUUGACGAGUGGAGACCAAAAUAAAAAUUUGAAAGCCCACCAUAGCAUCGCGUGUCUCACAAAGUGAGAGCAGACUCAUGAUCGCAAGGGAGGAGGCAGAUUGGCGCUAUUGUCCUGGCUCAUAGAAUUUCACCCGAAGUGGAGGGGGAGGAAAACGCUUCAUAGCGCGAGGUGGGAUUGAUGAGUAGCCAUAUACUCGCUCCAUUUCAUUAUAUAAGGCCACACACUCAGAUUACAGGUACCAAGGUAAAAUUCAAUGACUGCAUCGUGAGCCUACUUUUUGUUUUGUUAACCGAGAUCAUUAAUACAACACAUGGAUACAAAGAAAAAAAUGAGAAGAAAGUAGUUAAGUAUUUUUUUUUAACGAAGACAAAAGAUUACCUCAUCUAUUAGUUAAGCGGAAGAGAAUUGCCCUACAUGUAUGCGAACUUUAAACAAGUUGCUAAUAUGAGGAAAUAUUGUUAAUUUUUUCCUCGGUUACUCUUGAUGGUUUUAUGUAGAUGUAAAAUGGUUUCUUUUAUAAUGACCUUGUAUAAAGAAACAGAGGAAACAAUAUUUUUGAAACGAAAAUAUGCACGCCGUAUUUCAGAAUCGAGAAAGAAAACUGCAAAAGCAAAGCAUCUUCUAGCGACGAACGGCCUUGCUCGGAAGCGUGCACCCGACGCUGCGUGAUUCCCCCCCACAAAACAAGGUGGGAUUCCCAGUUCGGAUGCCCCCAUGCCUGCGGUCGCUCGCUCUUGUAGUCUUCCUCAGCUCCGGUACACGGCGCUUUGCUUUGCUUUGAUCAUGGCGGGAUGCUUCUUUUCCGUUCGGUGAUGUGUCGACUCGCGAAUCUCGAUCGAUCGACGUGCCCCCCACUUGCGUGGACCAAGCUAUCAUGGAGAUGGCAAGCGGAACCCGAAAGAAGUUCACAUGCCCAAGGCGACGGUCGAGCCAGGCCAUUCAUUUUUCUGACAGAAACCACCGCACGGGACAUGUUGUUAGCAAGCUCAAACUUCACGUAGAAUUCUCUGGCAGAAACAAUGGCGUUUGCACUGAUCAUGCAUAUAUCCCCGCGUACAAGGCUGCACCUGUUGUAUUUUUACUCCAACCGUGUGAUGUGAACCCAUAUUUGUUUUGCUAAAAAACAGUUGAUCGAGACUUCAGGAAGCCUCAAUCCAUACUAUAAUCCGUUGAUUUUACAUUAAGAUUCGUGUAGAUAAAUUUUUUUUCUUGCAUACUAUACUACUUUGAGACUUCACGAAGUUUCAUUUGACUGAGACCUAGACACACCUAUUUACAUUGAGAUUUAUUAACUGCUCAACUCCCUGGGGUUCUCGAAACAUGGAGGACGUGCAACGCAAAAGUGUCCACAUAGAUCAACGUUCGGCUGGCGCAGGUGAGGUAGGUGAACCUGCCGGUGCACUAUCAAGUUUACGAGGCAAGCUCUUGUCUUGGUGCGAGUAAAACGGGAGGCGAACUGGACGGACGGCCACUGCUCGCCUCGCUUGCGUGGCCAUGUGUGCGCUGCCCUGCUAUUGUUGGGAAACAGUACAGUACAGCUUGAUUUUGGGGUCAGGGAAGCGUACAACUCAUGUGAGGUUUAGCCUGUCGUGUCGAUCUUGUUUGUUUCGAGGGCUUUGGCUAUUUGCUAGUAGGAAGUAGUACGGGACUUGGUGAAGUGAACCAACCACUUCUUUGACCGAUUUUAAAGUGCUGCGUACUCUUGUAAUCUGUUGGCGGGGCUUGGCUGGUGUGAUGGAGCUCGCCUGCCAAUAUGUGCACAUCCACCCGUGGAAGGAUCAGUUGAGAACGUGUCCGUGUGUCCGCGUCACGACAGCGACAAGGCAUCGACGCCGUGGGCCGGCCAAGAUCAGUUUCUUGACGCCGACAGUAAAUAAAAAGUAAAUAAAACACGGUUUACGAUAACACGUACACUCUCUCUCGUGACCGGUGGAAGUAAGAGGAUAACUUCUUUCAAUGAACUGUUUCCAUGAACUGGUCAAACGGGACCGGCCCGGAAGCACGCCAGCUCGGCACGGUAUGGGUUAAUCAGACCGUCUCAGGCACGCAGCCCGUCUCGGGCCUGAGGGCUGGGUACGCGGGCCGGCACGGCAUGACCCGUUUAUCAUAUUUACUAUUUAUUCCCCCCCCCCAUAUAUAUACAUAAUAAAUAAAAUAACCUAAUAAAUCAAAAUCGGUUCAAAACACAGUUCAAUAUGUUGGUCCAAAAAACAGCCAAACAUGUCAAAAUCAGCCCAAAUAACAGCCUAAAAUAAAAAAGAAAACUAAUAGGCUAGCGGGUCUGGCGUGCCACGGACCGGUCCGUAUAGCCUCCUUGUCGUGCCUGGACCGGGAGGCUGCGCACGUGGGCGGCACAACACGGCCCAGCUAAUAUUCGUGCCCGGGCGGGCCAUGUCGUGCCAAACCCGUUUAUGGGGCCGUGCCGGGCCGGCCCGUUUGACCAGGACUGAAUUGGUCCUUUGGGCAACACACACAUGCGCGCGCGCGCGCACACACACACAAUGGUUCUUUUUUUUAAGAAAACUUGCCACUUUAUUUAUCGCAUUUAAAAUGUCAGGUACAUGAACGAAAUUGGGUGUGGCAAUAAAAAAAUGGUUCUUUGUUUUAUGCAUGGUGUUUGACACUAGUUGGGCAGGUUCCUAAGAUUGUCGAUGUCCAAAUUUAUAACUGCCCAGUUUGAUCCAGCAAAAUCUAUGACUUAUAAUUCUGAAAAAUAGACAAAAUUUACCCUAAGAAAAUACUCUUCGUUCCUAAAUAUAAGACCUUUUAAAAAUUUCGCUUUCAACUACAUUCGAUGUAAAAUGAGUGAAUCUAUACUCUAAAAUAUGUCUACAUACAUCCGUAUUUAGUUCAUAGUGAAAUAUCAAAAAUGUCUUAUAUUUUAAAACGAAGGGAGUAAUUGUUACAGAGUUUUUGUUGAAAACCCCUCACAUAUGUUAAUCAAUUAAAAUAUUCAUACAAUCAUCCAUUACAUCUUUCUCCACACAAGGCGGAUCAUACCUAUUCACAAAACUAAACUUGGCAAUCAAGUGUGCCAUCCUAUUGCCCUUUCUUUUAAUCUUGGACAUCUUGAACUCUGUCAACAUUUUAGAGACACCCAACGCUUCUUUCUUUAGAACAACAAAGGGAGACAUGUCACACAAAUAUCUUUUGGAGGCCUAGCUUCAUGGAGGCCUUCAAAUGCGAAAUUUAAAUUUCACGAAAAUUCAUAUUUUACAUGUUAUUUUUUAUAAAAAAAAUACAUAAAUAGAUGAAAGUAUAAUGCAUAAGUGUGUACAUUUUUAGGACUAAAUACGUUGAAAUGAGGGCUGUGCAAAAAAGACAAUUCUGAGACUUUUAAACAAAUGAUACUAUUCAUCAUUUUAGACCAUGGAAUUGUCUUUCUUUGUAUAGGUUGUGUUUCAAAGUAUUUCAACCUAGAAUUUUACACACAUGCGGCUCACAUCCUCGUUUAGUUAUACAAUUAUUUUUACAUUUUUUUGAAAUCAAUUUUUUCUAAUUUUGAAUUUUUGAAAAAUUCGGCCUCCAUGGAGGCCAAGAGCCAAAACGCCAUUCUCGACAUGUCAAGAUUAUCAUUUCCAAGCAAUAGAACCACAAAAGAACAACCAGUUUUCAAAAUGGUAGUUGUGCAGAGUGAUACCGAUAUAAAGAACAACGAGGAUCACUCUAAGUUUCACUUCAUCCGCACUAUUGCAAGCCUCAAUAUAAUCCGAGGAGAAAAUGAUAACUUCUGCAGUUUUGUUUCGGGAAACUCCCCCCCCCCCUUGUCGUGCUAAUGACCUUCAGAAAACUUGCAUCGACACUAAUCAGGAACUCCGAAGCGUGAGGCUGCCAAGAAAGAAAAAAUUCCUCUCCACAUUACUGGUGGAUUUCACUGCAUCUUUACAUUUGUUGCUGACCUUCACCUGCUUAUUGGUAUGAAACGACGAAAAAGACGCCCAAUAAUUUUGCAUAAAGCUCACAGAGGUAGAGACAACUUCCUUUCCCUUACCAUAGGUCAAAUCAUUUCUCAAAUGCCAUGAUCUUCAAAAGAUGAAUAUAAUUGACUCACACAAAUGCAACCCUAAUUGAUCCAUCAAAAUAAAUAACAAAUAUGAACCAUAAAAUUCAAAGAUCUCUUCACUCGGUAAAUUCCAAACCUCCUUCAAACUCCAUAAAAGUGCACAAGCCUUGGGACAUCUUAGCGAGCAUGAAAAACACAUUCAUCUUCAACACACCUGGAAAUUGAGCACAAGCCAUGAAUAGCUUGAUGAUGUUUUACUCUGUUAACUUGAUCCGCCAAACUAUUAGAAGUAGCAUACCAUGCAAAUAUUUUGAUUUUCCUAGAAACAUAAGCCUUACAAAUAAUAUUCGAGAGCCUUCUUUCCCAUUCAAAACAACAAUGGAGCUCCCUAACUACUUUAUUGUCCUUGAGAUUUAGUGCCAACCUAUACGUACUCUUUAUCAAGAAUAACCCUUUUUUCGUAGUGCCAAGCAAUAAAAUCUUCAUCUCCCAAAGUCAGAAUGAGCAACUUUAAAAUUUCCUCGACAUCAUGGGGGGUAAACAUAUGUAUGAUCGGAUUCUCACCACAUCUUCUUGAACCACUCAUGAAUAACUCAGACAUCCAUUUGAGCCUCUUCUUAGCAAACAAAAUUAGCCGGAGUCUCUAGGAAGCAAAUUAUCCCUCCAUAUGUGUAUACUAGCACCAUUGGAAACUCUCCAUAUAACACCCUUUUUCAACAGCUCGGGACCAUGCAUAAUAACUUGCGAAAUAACCGACACCUCUUGAGGGACGACAAUAUCAAUAAGAUAUCCAUGGGGUUAAUAUUUUUCUUUAAUCACCUUUGAACAUAAUCCAAAAAAAACCAAUAAUCAUCAAGCUUGUUUCACCAGAAGCACAUGAUUACAUAGUCUAAUAUCUCGAAACCCUAUAGCUCCCGCACCUUUGGGUCUUGCCAUCUUGUCGUACGCAAGCCAAUAAGUUUUUCUCCUAUUCUCCUCAUCACCCAUCAAUUUUUUUGAUGAUCUAGGAUAAUUAUUCACAAAUCCAUGCAUAACAUUUAAAGAUGCCCAUGGCAUAGGCCGGUAGCGCCUGAAUGACCGACUUAAUCUGGAUUUCCUUCAUCCCACUAGAAGCAUAUUAUUCAAUCUAGUCCAAAAACUACUUUAGCGCUUUAUCUUUGGUAGACUAAAAUUGCCGCCUUCAUUCUACUUGCUCGCACAGGUAAACCAAGAUAUCCUCUCAAAUCCAUCAACCAUGAUUUGAAUUACAACCAAAAUGGGCACUGAUCUUUUAGACAACACAUUUUGCCAAAUAAAAUGGAGCAUUUAUCUCGGUCCAAUAGUUGACCUUUCCCCUCCUCAUAAACCUAAAAAUUCUUCUAAUGGUCAGGGCUUGCUACAAAGAACCCUUGAAAAUAGGAGACUAUCAUAAAAAAACUGUGAGAAUGUCUGUGCAGCCGAAACUCCUAGAUAAUCCCUCUCACAUACGCAUCAUUAAGUAACAAUGGAAGGGCUUCAACCACAAAAGGAACAAGUAUGGAGAUAAAAUGAUUACUUUGCGAGUGACGAUGCAAAAGUUGAAAGAUUCUAACAGAUAGCCAUUAAAACACGCUAAAAAUUUCACUAAAACAACAUAAAUCAUAAUUCACUUAACCCAAACUAGAGCAAAACCAUAUGCUCUCACCAUACUUUCCAAGAAAUUCUAGUCCACACGGUCAUAUGCUUAGAGAGUUUCAACUUGCAUGCAGACUAUUUGUGUCGAAAAUCUUUCAAAAACCUCUAUGAUUGCAUACAUCCAAAGCAAUAAUAGCACUAUCUGAAAUUAAUCUUUCAAGAAUGAUAACACUUUGGGUAGGAAAAAUCAUACCAUCCAACAAAGGGCUCAGUCUAUUAACAAGACACUUGAAUAUAAUUAUAUAUAUGACAUCACAUAAAGUGAUUGGUAAAAAAUCUUUUUCGACCCAGGGUUCUCCACUUUAGGAAUAAGCACAAUAGUUGUAUUAUUUAUCCCUUCCAGCGUGCUUCCAGAAAUAAAGAACAAUUGAACAACAUGAAAAAUAUCUCCCUUGAGUAAACCCUAAUUCCUUUGAAAAAAAACAGCUAGAAAUCCAUCUGGCCUUGAAGCCUUCAACGAACCUAUUUGGAAGAGAGCAUCACUAAUCCCUUGUUGAGAAAAUGAUUUGCAAAGGUCCUCAUUCAUGGUAUGUGACUCUAUGGUAAACACAUCUCAUAUUAUUCCACGUGUGUAACCUUUGGUAAAUGAUUACAGAGAUUUUUGUGUAUGGGAUGGCGAGGUCGCGGUGAGGCGCUGAGCUGCUGCGGGGUUUGGCGGCGACAACAGGCGUGCAGGCGGCGACAGUGUCGUCAUAGGGCGACGCAGUGUGGGCUAGAGCUCGUCUGUGGUGUGGCGGUUGCGCGAGGGGGGGGGGCUCGUCCUCACGCGGAUGCGUGCAUGCUGGUUCCCGGCCAGAUCAGGCUCUAGGUAGCUCGCGGGAGGUGCGGGGUUGGCAGCGACUCAUUCGAUGGUGUCGCGACAUGAGCGGAUGGCGGCGACGUCUCUGUCUAUGUGGCAUUUGCGGGUGUUGGGCCUUGGGUGGAUGCGAGCACAGUUGGGUGGCCGGUCCUAACGACCUGACACGCGACACGGGAGACGGGUGGCGCACUGAUGGUUGCGUUGGUGGCCAGCCAGGUGUGGUACAUGGGAGGCAGGCCAGGACAUCGCCCCUGCGCCGAAUCUGGCAUGGUUUCGGGUGUAUGUGGGGGGACUUGAAGUGCCUUCGACUGGAGGUUGCUCGGUGUGGCUGUUGUGAUGGUCGGAGAGCGUGAUGGUGGUUCCUGGGAACGCGCAAGGAUGGUUGGUUGCACGUUGCUCUAGCCGUUUAUUCCCCUGGCUGCGGGUGUGUGGAAGUGGGUCACACGACUUCUUGGCGGAGCUAGACUGGGGCUGGAGGUGGUGGCUAGCUGGAGGUGGAUUGCGUGAGUGGCCUUUGGAGGCGGCCCCGACGACAAGAGUUGUCGGCUACCUACGACAUCCCUGUCUCGAUGUGAACGAUCAGAUCUGAUGGGGCAGUCUUCGCCCUCCUCGAUGGUGUUCUCCCAAAGUUGGUUGAGAGCGCCAUUGUCCCUUGGCCAUAUCUCACGAUGUCGAGUGGGGACCCAAGGUUGUUGGGGUGGCGUCUGAAAGUGCAUCAUUGCCCUGAAUUAUUUUUGACAUCUAUGACAAUUUCAUUUGUAUUUCUAAACACAUGCUCUAGUGUAAACAUCUCCGACAAAAGUAAAGAGAAGCAUGGAUAUGGUUAUUUCCCCUCUACUCGGAAAAAGGAAAAGUCAGAGUUCCAUGAAAGUUUUUCUUUCUUUCUUGAGUCCUUAGGGCAACUGCACUAUUAAGAGGGGAUGCAUCGUGAAAAUUAUCUAGGAAUCAACUCUUCAUAAAAACAAGUUCUCGAAAACCAAUUCUAAGAUCUGUCAAAAUUGACACUGCAAAGCCUCUGUCUUAGGUCAGAACUUCCGGGGCGGACGGAACUUCCCGGGACCAUAAGGCCCGAGGAGCUUCCGGGCCAACCAGAGAAACUGCCAGCCUCUGUGCAAUGUUUCUGUUUAGGCUGGAACCUUGCCAGACCCUGGCCGAAACUUCGAGGGAGGCCGGAACUUCUGUCCCGAUCCUGUCUGCUUUCGAGGGACUCCAACCGGGUGCAAUCAUUCUAUUCAAACCGGUACCUUCGCGGAGCCUGGUCGUAACUUCCGGGGUGCGGAACCUCCGGUCCCCCCGGAACUUCCGGGGUUGGCAGAAAUGUGGCCCCCAACGGCUGGAUUUCUUCCCCACCUAUAAAUAGCCUUCUCCUUCCCGAGGCACCGUAAAAACUCCAUUUUUCUCACUCCACCAUUUUCAAACCUCUAUUUCUUAGAGUUCCCCCUCCUUAGCCAACCAAAGCUCUUGAUGUUUUGAGGAGUGAAGGAGGAGUUCCUGAUCUACACAUUCACCAAAGAAAAAGUUGAUCCCCCUUGUUUUCAGGAUGCAUCUUGUAACUCUUGGAGGUUGGAGACUCUUAGGCGGUAGGAGUACUCCGACGAGGAAUCGUUCAUUGUGAUUACCCCCAAAAAGUUUGUGAGGGUUUGGAGACCACCCCAAGGUCUACCACUAGUGGUUGAGAAUCGCCUUCGUGGUGUUGUAUCAAAGAGAUAAUAGGGUGGGCCUUCCUAGCGUUGGUGUGCCUUUGUGGUAACAUCCACAUUUCUAAACGGUGACAUAGCUUCCCUCCAAUAAAUUGAACAUCGGUAUACAUCCUCGUCUCUAGGAGUUGUGGUUAUCUCUAACCCUAAUCCUCUACUUGUGGUUAUUUUUCUUUGUGAUAUUUCUUAUAUUACUUGUAUUACAUGUGCUUAACUCUUUAAUUAAUUGUUGUAUUGCUUAGUACGCGUAGCACGACUACCAUCUUUGCAAUUGUUAGGCUCACCUUCAUAUUCUGCAUUACUGCCUAAAAUUGCUAAGAAACAAUUAAAAAUUGUAAUCGUACCUAUUCACCCCCUCUAGGACCAUCUCGAUCCUUUCAAUUGGUAUCAGAGCCUCGUGCUCUAAUUUAGUGGCUUAACCGUCCUAGAUCGAGAUGGAUAAGGUUGGGAACCCGUUGCGUGCUCCUCCUCUUGAAGGAGAAGCUUCAUCCAUAUAUGAAGGGAGAUAUUUCACUUCUUAAGAUCUCGAACGGAUCCUCGCUAAGAAGAACGAGGAGCAUGAUGCUUCUAUUGAGGCUUUGGUAAAAGUGAGGUUGGAAGCAUUUGGUGCGAAAAUUACAUCACCGGAGAACCCAAUUCGUGUGUUAAAAUAAUCAAUUGCAUCCAUUCCUAAUUCGGGGCAACAACCUCCACCUCACAACAAUAUCGGUGUUCCUUGGCUAUAUGCUGAACCUAGAGUGGAGAAACCUAAGUAUAAUAUUUUGGGAAAUCCUCCUUUACUUGAUGACACUGCCGAUUUUUCUUUGUGGAGAGUUGGUAUGCAGGAUCAUCUUAGGUUUGCCAACGAUGAAAUGCCGGAGAUCUUGGAGAAAGGUUACAACCCUCUGAACCCCAAGGAUCUCACACCGAGUGAAGUAUAUGACAGACACCUCAAUGGCACCACGAUCAUGCUCAUAAGAAAAGGCAUGCGUGACAAGCAGAAAAGGCCUUACAUUCACGUAUCAAAUGCAAAAGAACUUUGGGAUAGCAUUAUGAUGACAAAGACGGGAACAUCCUCUCUUCGUCUUGCACAAUAUGAGAUAGCAAAAGGAGCAUUGCAAUACUUCUGCAUGUAGAAAGGAGAGACCCCAAGCAUCUUCUUGAAAGAUCGAUGACACUUGCUGUCGACAUAGAAUCAUAUGACUGUGACAAGAGUCGAGAUGGAUUCAAUCUGACGAAACGGUUUCUUGUGGAUAAAAUUCUAAAUGCUCUUGCCCCGUACCACCAUCAAAUGGUAUGGGACAUAAGGAGAGAACAUGGUUUUAAGGACAUAUCUCUUGAUGAUGUCAUCUCUGCCUUCCAACUAUUCCAAGAAUCAAAGGCCAAUGCUACAAGGCAUCUUGCCAUGCAUGGCUCCUCAUCACCCAAGACAAAUCUUGCGUUGAAGGCCAAACACGUGAAGGAUGACGAUGAUGUCAGUGAAGAAGAAGAGGAACAUGAAGAGGAAGGCUAUGAAGAUGAAUCAAAUGACGAGCUCUCAUAUGAAGACAUGGAUCUUUGUCAAGAAGUUUAGUGCUGGAAAAUUCAAGGGAAUAUUCCAAAAGAAGAAAGUAAGGACUUGUUACAAUUGUGAAUAAACCAACCACUUCUCAAACAAGUGUCCUUAUGAUAAGAGAGAAGACAAACCAAGAUUUCUGAAGACCUUUGUGAAGAAGAAGUUGCCUAACCCAUUAAAAUCCAAGUUCAGAAAAAGAGAUGGGAAGGCAAUGGUUUCUCAAGAUGAAUCCGGCCCCGAUGAUGUUGGGGGUGUUGUAGCAUAGCACAAGACACUCAAACCACAUUAAUACUGUUCAACAAAAGUUGUGAUGUUGUCACAUACAACUACAUGAAAGACUACAAAGGUAAUGCACACAAAUGCCUCAUGGCUCAAGAUGUGAUGGAAGAUGAUGAGGGACAGACAUCUUGAGACAAGGUGAAGGUAACUCCACGACCUAACCCUUCUCUAUUUUCCUCCAACACAUCUAGUGAUGAAUAUGUUGAUGCUCAGGAUCGUGAUCAUGAGACUGAAAUUAGUGAUGCUAUGUUUGCUAAAAUGAAGAAAGUCAUGUGCUCCCUCAAAGGAAAGAAGAUCAUUACGUUUCGUAUGCUUAUGGAGAUGGUGAGUAAGGACGCCACUUCCAUUAAGAACACAAAAACCUCGUUACCGAGGAAAAGGACAAAUGCGAAAUCCUUGAGCAGAAAGUCCUAUAUGAGGAAGCACAUAAUGACAAAUUGUGCUUAAAAAUAGGUGCAAACAUUGAUAAGAACACUGAAGAACUUGCCUCUUUAACAAAGACUGGAAAUGAUUAUGAAGUGUUAAAAAGAGACAAACGUAAGUUUGACGAGUCUCACUCCGCUCUUUCUAAAGAUUGUGAGCUCUUACAUUUGUCUCUCAAGACAAAGGAGGUAGAUCUCAACACUCUUACAAAGAAGUUUGACAAACUCAAGCUUACAUAUCUUAACAUUCUAGGCAAAGUUUACUCCUCUCCUGUUGUAAAUGUUGAUGCUUGUGCUACUAAUCCCAGUGGUGACCUAGCUAGUGUUCUUGAGGAGAACCGGUUGCUAAAAGCUCAAGUUGAAAAAGGGCUCAUGUCAUGUGCCCAAGGACAAAAGAACCUCAAUGAAGUGUUGAGUCAACACAAGGAGGUUGUGGCGAAAGAAGGGCUUGCAUUUUAUCCAAGCCGGAACAGGAAUGCAAUAACGAUACAUAAGUCCACUGCUCCUCUCGAGGAGAUAUUUGUUCGGAAAGGGCACAAGGAAGACAGAUUGGGAGACGUUGAGAAGGUUGCGAGUAGGAAGGCCACUAGGGGCCAGCCUGCUCCCAACAAGCCAAAAGAAUGCAUGCCUCCAUCAUAUGUGCUCCGUAAGGCAAAAGAUGGAGCUGUGUAUGCUAAAUUUUUUGCCCUCGAAAUGCUUUUCGAUUCUAUGCAAUUUGGGUGCCUAAGACCCUUGUUACUAACAUGAGGGGUCUGAUGUCUACUACACUACCUUCUCCUUGUAGACGUUGUUGGGCCUCCAAGUGCAGAGGCUUGUAGGACAGUAGCAAUUUUCCCUCAAGUGGGUGACCUAAGGUUUAUCAAUCCGCGGGAGGCGUAGGAUGAAGAUAGUCUCUCUCAAGCAACCCUGCAACCAAAUAACAAAGAGUCUCUUGUGUCCCCAACACACCUAAUACAAUGGUAAGUUGCAUAGGUGCACUAGUUCGGCGAAGAGAUGGUGAUACAAGUGCAAUAUGGAUGGUAGAUAUAGGUUUUUGUAAUCUGAAAUUACAAAAACAGGAAGGUAACUAGUAAAAAAAGUGAGCACGAACGGUAUUGCAAUGCGUGGAAACAAGGCCUAGGGUCCAUACUUUCACUAGUGAAGUUUUCUCAACAAUAAUAACAUAAUUGGAUCAUAUAAAUAGCCCUCAACAUGCAACAAAGAGUCACUCCAAAGUCACUAAUAGCGGAGAACAAACGAAGAGAUUAUUGUCUGGUACGAAACCACCACAAAGUUAUUCUUUCUGAUCGAUCUAUUCAAGAGUCCGUAGUAAAAUAACACGAAGCUAUUCUUUCCGUUCGAUCCAUCAUAGAGUUCGUACUAGAAUAACACCUUAAGAUACAUAUCAACCAAGACCCUAAUGUCACCUAGAUACUCCAUUAUCACCUGAAGUAUCUGUGGGCAUGAUUAUACAUAUGCAUCACAUCAUCUCAGAAUCAUCUAUUCAACCAACACAUAGAACUUCAAAGAGUGCCCCAAAGUUUCUACCGGGGAGUCAAAACGUGUGCCAACCCCUAUGCAUAGGUUCCCAAUGUCACGAACCCGCAAGUUGAUCAACAAAACAUACAUCAAGUACUCACAUGAAUCAAACGUGUGCCAACCCAUAUGCAUAGGUUCCAAAUGUCACAAACCCGCAAGUUGAUCACAUCAGAUAGACACGUGAAAGACAUACAUCAAGUGUUCUCAAAGACUCAAUCCGAUAAGAUAACUCCAAAGGGGAAACUCAAUUCAUUACAAGAGGGAGAGGGGGAAGAACAUCAUAAGAUCCAACUAUAGUAGCAAAGCCCAUGGUACAUCGAGAUCAAGAUAUCCCAAGAACACGAGAGAGAGAGAGAGAUCAAACACAUAGCUACUGGUACAUACCCUCAACCCUGAGGGAGAACUACUCCCUCCUCUUCAUGGAGAUUGUCGGGAUGAUGAAGAUGGCCACCGGAGAUUGAUCCCCCCUCUGGCAGGGUGCCGGAACGGGCUCCAGAUUGGUUUUUGGUGGCUACGGAGGCUUGCAGCGGCGGAACUCCCGAUCUAGGUUUCUUUUUGUGGGUUUCUGAAUUUACAGGAAUUUAUGGCGGUGGAAUUAUGUCGGUUGGGCCCACGAGGAGGUCACAAGCCUGGUUGCCACAACCUAGGGGGUGGUGGCGGCGUCAGGGCUUGUGACUCCCUCGUGGCUCUUCUGGCCUUCUUUCAAAGCUUCGGGGGUCUCUUUUGGUCCAAAAAAAUCAUCGUAAAGUUUCAUUCCAUUUGGACUCCGUCUAAAAAUGGGCCAAAAACACGAAAAAAACAGAAACUGGCACUUGGCACUGAGUUAAUAGGUUAGUCCCAAAAAAUAUAUAAAAUAGCAUAUUCAUGCAUAUAAACAAUCCAAAGUUGACAAGAUAAUAGCAUGGAACCAUAAAAAAUUAUAGAUACGUUGGAGACGUAUCAAGCAUCCCCAAGCUUAACUCCUGCUCGUCCUCAAGUAGGGAAGUGAUAAAGAAUGAAUUUUUGAUGCUUUCAUGCUACCUAGCAUAGAUGUCCUUUGUAACUCCUCUUAUGUGACAUGAAUGUUCAGAUCCGUUAGAUUCAAAACAAUAGUUUGCUAUUGACGUGGAAACAAUAAUUAUUGAAGCAAACUAGCAAGGUAAUCAUGAACUUUCGAAAUAACAAGGCCAAAAGAAAGUUAUCCCUACAAAAGCAUAUAGUCUGGCUAUGCUCUAUCAUCAUUGCACAACGAAUUUAAAUCUUGCACAACCCCGUUAUUGGCCAAGUAAUUGUUUCACGCCUUUACUUUCUCAAACCUUUUCAACUCUCACGCAAUACAUGAGCGUGAGCCAUGGUUUUAGCACUAUAGAUGGUGUGGAGUGUGGUGGAGGUUGCAAGACAAAAAAGGAGAAGAUAAUCACAUUAACUAGGCAUAGCAAUGAGCUGUGGAAAUGCUCAUCAAUAGAUAUCAAUGUAAAUGAGUAGGGAUUGCCAUACAAAUGAUGCACUAGAGCUAAGAGUAUGUGAAAGCUCUUUAAAGAAAACUAGUGGGUGUGCAUCCAACUUGCUUGCUCACGAAGACCUAAGGCAAUUUUGAGGAAGCCUAUCAUUGGAAUAUACAAGCCAAGUUAUAUAAUGAAAAUUUCCCACUAGCUAUAUGGUGGUGACAAAACGAGAUACUCUCAAUCAUGAAGAUCAUGGUGCUUAAUAUCCACAAGUGUGGAAAAGUGGUAGCAUUGUCCCUUCUCUCUUUUUCUCUCAUAUAUAUUUUUUGGUGGGCUCUUUGGCCUCUUUAUUAUUAUUCCCCCCCCUUUAUUUUGGUGGGCAUCUUUGGCCUAUUUUAUUUCCUCACAUGGGACAAUGCUCCAUCAAUGAUGAUCAUCACACUUUCAACACAAAACUUAGAGCAACGAUGACUCCAUAUGGAAUGCCUUCGGUAGUGUACCGUGACAAUGAUCUAGCAUGGCAUAGACAUUAAAUGAAACAUCAUGCUAGCUAUCUUAAGAUCAUGCAAUGGAAAUUUAGAUGUGGUGGCACAUGUCAUGGUGGUAUUUGCAUGGAAAUAUAUCUUGGAAUGACUUUGAAAAAUCCAUAGUAGGUAGGUAUGGUGGCUGUUUUGAGGGAGGCUAAUGGUGGGUUUUGUGCACCGGCGAAAGUUGCACGACACUAAGAAGAUAGUGAUGGUGGUAAGUGAAAGUGCAUCUAAACCAUGGACUCAACAUUAAUCAUGAAGAACUCAUAUACUUGUUGCAAAAGUUUUAUUAGUAAUCGAAACAAAGCAUACAACGCAUACUCCUAGGGGAAGGGUUGGUAGGUAUAAACCAUCGCGCGAUCCCAACCGCCACGCAAAGGAUGACAAUCAAUAUACUAAUCAUGCUCAGAUUUCAUCACAUAGCGGUUCACCAUACGUGCAUGCUACGGGAAUCACUAACUUCAACACAAGUAUUUCUAGAUCCACAACACCUUACUAGCAUGACUUUAAUAUUACCAUAACCACAACUCAAAACUAAUUGAGAUGAAUCAAACUCCUCUAACUAUUCAAUGCACAUGAAGGUGGAAGUUUUCGUAUCCCUUUUUAUAACUACCCAUUUUGAGGCUACUUUCAAAGCAUAGAUCAACUACCAAGCCACGCACCGCUGCGCUCUAAAAGAUAUAAGCGAAGUACAUAGAGCAAAAGUAUCUAGCUCAAAAGAUAUAAGUGAAGCACAUGUGAGUUGAAUUGUCUACCACAAGAUAUAAGUGAAGCUCGACAAAAUCAUGGUGUGUGCAUGUCUCUCUCUCUAGGUGUGCAGCAAGGAUGAUUGUGACACAACAAAAAUCAAAGACUCCUACGAUACAAGAUGCUCCAAGCAAAAACACAUAACAUGUGGCGAAUAAAAAUAUAGCACCAAGUAAUGUUAUCGACGGAUUGAAGACGAGAGAGGGGAUGCCUUCCCGGGGCAUCCCCAAGAUUAGGCUUUUUCGGCAUCCUUGAAUCAAAUUGGGGUGCCUUGGGCAUCCCCAAGCUUGAGCUCUUGCCAAUCUUUAUCUCUUUGUCCAUAAGAACUUCACCCAGAACUUGAAAACUUCACAACACAAAACUUAAACAGAAACUCGUGAUAUCAUUAGUAUAAGAAAGAAAAUCACCACUUCCUUAGGUACUGUAGCAAACUUAAAUUCUACUUAUGUUGGUGUUGGGUUGCUAUAUUUUCACUUUUCCAUGGCUAGUACCCUCCGAUACUAUCCAUAAUUUCAUCAAAAUAAGCAACCAACUCAACAAAAAAACAGAAUCUGUUAACAACAGACCAGUCUGUAGCAAUAUGUAUACUUCGUAUACUUCUGGUACGUCAAAAACUCUGAAAAAUUACUACAGUCUGAAGAAAUUGCAUAGAAAUCAGCAGCAAAAAGAAUCAACUCAAAAUCUCUUACAGAAUAAAAAUGAAAAUUCUUUUCGUGAGCAGAAAGUUUCUGUCUUUUUCCAGCAUGAUCAAACAAUCAUCACCAAGACUAAUCAUAACGGUUUUGCUUGGCACAAACACAAAAAGAAACACAAAAUACACAAUCAUAACAGAAUUAUGAUGGUGUGGAGAAAACAAAACAGGAACCAAAAAGCAAAGAAAAAUUUAUUCAUUGGGUUGCCUCCCAACAAGCGCUAUCGUUUAACGCCCUUAGCUAGGCAUUGAUUUCAAUGAUGCUCACAUAAAAGGUAAGGAUUGAAACACAACGAGAGCAUCAUGGAGCAAAUGGCUAGCACAUUUAAGUCUAACCCACUUCCUGGAUUUUGUGAUCAAACAAUUUAUUGGAGCAAUAAUCAACUAGCAUAGGAAGGCAAAACAAGCAUAGCUUCAAACAUUUCAACAUAUGGAGAGGAAGCUUGAUACUAUUGCAAUAAGUAGAAGCAUAUGAUCCUCUCUCAUAGUAAUUUUUAGUAACAUCAUGAAUGAAUUCAACAAUAUAACCAGCACCUAAAGCAUUCUUUUCAUGAUCUACAAGCAUAGAAAUUUUACUACUCUCCACAUAAGGAAAUCUUUUCUCAAGAAUAGUAGUGGGAUUAUCGUAAAAGACUUGAGCACUACAAAUUGUGUCCACUAUGAAAAAGCAAGGUUUAGCAAAGGGGUUUUAGAAAGUAUGACAAGUUUUAUCAUCCCUCUUCUUCAAAGCAUAAGUAUUCUCACAAUAAUCAUCAAAGAUAGGGGGCAUUCUUUCAUCAAAAUAAUUUUGAUCAUUCAAAGUGGAAGAACUAAAAAUAUCAUCUUCAUCAAAUAUAGCAUCCCCAAGCUCGUGGCUUUGCAUAUCAUUAGCAUCAUGGGUAUUCAAAGAAUUCAUGCUAAAAACAUUGCAAUCAUGCUCAUCCUUCACAUAUUCUAUGCCAAGCAUUCUAUGUAAUUCUUCUUUCAGCACUUGAGCACUAUUUUCCUUCCCAUAAUGCUCACGAAAGACAUUGAAAAGAUGGAGCAUAUGAGGCAUCCUCAAUUCCAUUUUUUUGUAGUUUUCUAGCUAAAGAACAAGAAACAAAAAGAUUCGAUUGCAAGAUCUAAAGAUAUACCUUCAAGCGCUAACCUCCCUGGCAACGGCGCCAGAAAAGAGCUUGAUGUCUACUACGCAACCUUCUCCUUGUAGACGUUCUUGGGCCUCCAAGUGUAGAGGGUUGUAGGACAGUAGCAAUUUUCCCUCAAGUGGGUGACCUAAGGUUUAUAAAUCCAUGGGAGGCGUAGGAUGAAGAUGAUCUCUCUCAAGCAACCCUGCAACCAAAUAACAAAGAGUCUCUUGUGUCCCCAACACACCUAAUACAAUGGUAAGUUGUAUAGGUGCACUAGUUCGGCGAAGAGAUGGUGAUACAAGUGCAAUAUGGAUGGUGGAUAUAGGUUUUUGUAAUCUGAAGUUACAAAAACAGCAAGGUAACUAGUAACAAAAGUGAGCACGAACGGUAUUGCAAUGUGUGGAAACAAGGCCUAGGGUUCAUACUUUCACUAGUGAAGUUCUCUUAACAAUGAUAACAUAAUUGGAUCAUAUAACUAGCCCUCAACAUGCAACAAAGAGUCACUCCAAAGUCACUAAUAGCGGAGACCAAACGAAGAGAUUAUUGUCGGGUAUGAAACCACCACAAAGUUAUUCUUUCUUAUCGAUAUAUUUAAGAGUCUGUAGUAAAAUAACACGAAGCUAUUCUUUCCGUUCGAUCCAUCAUAGAGUUCGUACUAGAAUAACACCUUAAGAUACAUAUCAACCAAGACCCUAAUGUCACCUAGAUACUCCAUUGUCACCUCAAGUAUCCGUGGGCAUGAUUAUACGAUAUGCAUCACAUAAUCUCACAAUCAUCUAUUCAACCAACACAUAGAACUUCAAAGAGUGCCCCAAAGUUUCUACCAGAGAGUCAAAACGUGUGCCAACCCCUAUGCAUAGGUUCCCAAUGUCACAAACCCGCAAGUUGAUCACCAAAACAUACAUCGAGUACUCAGAUGAAUCAAACGUGUGCCAACCCANNNNNNNNNNNNNNNNNNNNNNNNNNNNNNNNNNNNNNNNNNNNNNNNNNNNNNNNNNNNNNNNNNNNNNNNNNNNNNNNNNNNNNNNNNNNNNNNNNNNCAAAGAAGAUUACAUCGGAUAGAUCUCCAUGAAGAUCAUGGAGAACUUUGUAUUGAAGAUCCAAGAGAGAGAAUAAGCCAUCUAGCUAAUAACUACGGACCCAUAGGUCUGAAGUGAACUACUCACGAGUCAUUGGAGGGGCGAUGAUGAUGAUGAAGAAGCCCUCCGACUCCAAAGUCCCCUCUGGCAGGGCGCCGGGAAGGGUCUCCAGAUGAGAUCUCGCGGAAACGGAAGCUUGCGGUAGCGGAAAAGUAUUUUCGAGGCUCCCCUGAUUUUUUGCGGAAUAUUUGGGAAUUUAUAGGCCAAAGAUCUAGGUCAGGGGGCGGCCAGGGAGGCCACAAGCCUGCCCACCGCCGCCUCCCCCCUGGUGGCGGAGUGGGGGCUUGUGGGCUCCCUGGAGCCCACCUGGCUUGGCCCAAAAGCCCCCGGGACUUCUUCCGUUCGGGAAAAAAUCAUUUUGGGUUUUUUCUUCCGUUUGGACUCCGUUCCAAAAUCAGAUCUGAAAAAAGUCAAAAACACGGAAAAAACAGGAACUGGCACUUGGCACUGAAUUAAUAAGUUAGUCCCAAAAAGAUAUAAAAAGGUACGUAAAACAUACAAAGAAGGCAAGAUAACAGAGUGAAACCAUCAAAAAUUAUAGAUACGUUUGAGACGUAUCAAUGACUUCAACAAACAAACAAGCACACAAGCAAGCAAGAAAACCGGCAAAGGAAAAUGGCAAAGGGCAAAAGAAAGCGGCAAAGGAAAACGACAAAAAGGCAAAAGAAAAAGGCAACGGAGAAAGGCAAAUGAAAAUGGCAAAUGUGAAGUGGGGGAGAGGAAAACGAGAGGCAACUGGCAAAAAAAGUAAAUGCAAGAGAUGAGUUUGUGAGACCUACUUGGAUAGAUCUCUCCUUCCCCGGCAACGGCGCCAGAAAUACUUCUGCUACUGCAACAAAAGACCUUCCAACGGCCCCAGAAACAAGCGUGCUGACGGAAGACUAUUCUUGUCUUGAUACUCCUCAGCAACGGCACCAGGAAUCCUUUUGCUACGGCUACGCCUUUAGGGACUUCCUUGGCAAAUAUGCAAAGGAUUCCCCCGUGGCCUUGGAGCCUUGCGUUGGUGUUCCCUCGAAGCGGAAAGGGUGAUAUNNNNNNNNNNNNNNNNNNNNNNNNNNNNNNNNNNNNNNNNNNNNNNNNNNNNNNNNNNNNNNNNNNNNNNNNNNNNNNNNNNNNNNNNNNNNNNNNNNNNACCCGUACCCGUAGCCGCCACCGUCGGCGCCCCAGGGCAGGAUCUUCCAGCUCUGGUUCUCGCCCUUGCAGAACUCCCAGAGGACGACGGCGGUGCCGUCGUGCACCCCGCCGUGGGGCUUGUCGCCGUGGAGGGCGUCGAAGCUGAGGCUGAGGUUGUUGACCAUGCGGAUGCAGCGGAAGCCCUUGCCGACGUCGUUGCUCUCCGUCCACAGCACCGACUCGUCCUCGAACGCCGGGUUGUAGGGGAUGAGCUUGACGGGGUGGGACUGGCCGAGCGAGUGCUUCACGGCCAGCCCCGUGGCCUUGUUCACCAGCGCGAACGCCGGGUGCCCCUCCGCGUCGCUCACCCUC
This 25093-nucleotide long non-coding RNA is filed under the name Hordeum vulgare. Its description in RNAcentral is "long non-coding RNA (HVUL_LNC002846)". The record is from RNAcentral. Lineage: Eukaryota; Viridiplantae; Streptophyta; Magnoliopsida; Poales; Poaceae.